AGACGUUUGUGAACAUACAAUUGGCUUCAUGUUCAUAAUUCUUUCCAUGGGCCCAUGCAGGGACUGAGAAUAGUCGGACGGCUAGAUAUUUAUUAACAAAUGGGGGCUCGUCUUUCUGGGAACAUCUACAGACAGGCAGGAGCAUGGACCUCUCCAGGCCAGCAGACAUGAGUACAUUUAGGGCACAGAUUAUUUAUUACUCUGAGCUGAAUAGUUGAAUGUAUAAAUAAAUAGUAAAUUAAAGAUUUUAAUAUCAAAACAAUCUUUUAAAAAAAUGUUAAUCAAUUACAAGUUUCCUAUAUCUAGGUCACGACUACCUAUAAAGUCACAGUUUUUGAUGCCAUUGGUAUAAGACAAUCAAUACUGACAGCAUACAGGCAAGUUGUCUGCUGGGCCUAUGCUAUUCUAUAUGUGUAAACCCUUACCUUCAUGUGUUGUGUCAGUCAUUCCCUUGUGAAAAAGAAGUGCACUUAAGUAUACUUUUAUAAAGUGCACUUAUUGCGAAGUUAAUAUACUUUAAAAGAACACACAUAAGUGCUACUUAAUUGUAAUGUUUUUGCCGCUUAAGCACAUUGUAUUUAUAAUUAAUUUAAAAUGUAUCACAUUUUAAAGUUAUAUUAACUGCAUUAAGUGGAACUUUUGAGUGAUUUUAAGUGGGACACUUAAGUGGGACUUUUUAAAAUGUACUUUCAUAAUUGCUUCUAGUGUCUUUAAAAUAUAGUUAAAGUGUACUACUAAUGUACUGACAAGCAAUUAACAUUAACUAAAAUAUACUUUAAUGUCACUUAAGGAUACACUGUAGUGUGAAUUAAAUGUUUUCAACCACCUAAAAUAAUAUUAUUUGUAAUUGAUUUCAAAUAUUAUACAGUUUAAAAUUACAUUAAAUGCAAUUAGUUGAACUUUUGAGUGAUAUUUUUGAACCACCUAAUUGGGACUUUAGUACAUUUUAUAUGUACUUUGAAAUAUGAAAUGAUGUGAACUAAAAUAUAUUUCAAUGUCAUUUCAGUGUACACAUAUCUCUGACAAUGAAGUUGAAAUGUAGUAUAUUUAAAAUUGUAUUAAAAAAAAAAAAAAAAAAAAAAAAAAAAAAA
This is a long non-coding RNA of Labeo rohita (rohu), 1091 nucleotides long. RefSeq lists it as uncharacterized. The record is from RefSeq and is a predicted model, not a curated record. The transcript has 2 exons. Lineage: Eukaryota; Metazoa; Chordata; Actinopteri; Cypriniformes; Cyprinidae.